AGGCCACUGCUAUCGGAGUUCGAUUAAGCCAUGCGAGUCGAGAGGUGUAAGACCUCGGCAUACUGCUCAGUAACACGUGGACAACCUACCCUGAAGAGGGGGAUAACCCCGGGAAACUGGGGAUAAUACCCCAUAGACUAUGGAUGCUGGAAUGCUUUGUAGUUGAAAGGUCCGCCGCUUCAGGAUGGGUCUGCGGCCGAUUAGGUUGUUGUUGGGGUAACGGCCCAACAAGCCUGUAAUCGGUACGGGUUGUGGGAGCAAGAGCCCGGAGAUGGAUUCUGAGACACGAAUCCAGGCCCUACGGGGCGCAGCAGGCGCGAAAACUUUACAAUGCGAGCAAUCGUGAUAAGGGAACUCCGAGUGCCUGUAAAAUCAGGCUGUCCGCCAGUGUAAAUAACUGGUGAAGAAAGGGCCGGGCAAGACCGGUGCCAGCCGCCGCGGUAAUACCGGCGGCUCGAGUGGUGGCCACUAUUACUGGGCUUAAAGCGUUCGUAGCUGGUCUGUUAAGUCUCUGGGGAAAUCUUCCGGCUUAACCGGAAGGCGUCUCAGGGAUACUGGCAGACUAGGGACCGGAAGAGGUGAGAGGUACUCCAGGGGUAGGAGUGAAAUCCUGUAAUCCUUGGGGGACCACCUGUUGCGAAGGCGUCUCACCAGGACGGCUCCGACAGUGAGGAACGAAAGCUGGGGGAGCAAACCGGAUUAGAUACCCGGGUAGUCCCAGCUGUAAACGAUGCGCGUUAGGUGUAUCGGUGACCACGAGUCACCGAGGUGCCGAAGAGAAAUCGUGAAACGCGCCGCCUGGGAAGUACGGUCGCAAGGCUGAAACUUAA
Molecule: ribosomal RNA, 830 nt
Filed under: uncultured archaeon
Lineage: Archaea
Description: bacterial SSU rRNA
Rfam family: Archaeal small subunit ribosomal RNA
Source: RNAcentral